GGCGGGGUAGCUCAGUCGGUAGAGCGGGGGUCUCAUAAGCCCUGUGUCGACGGUUCAAAUCCGUCCCUCGCCA
RNAcentral lists this transfer RNA (73 nucleotides) under Deltaproteobacteria bacterium. Its description in RNAcentral is "tRNA-Met". It matches the Rfam family "tRNA". From Rfam's summary of the family: Transfer RNA (tRNA) molecules are approximately 80 nucleotides in length. Their secondary structure includes four short double-helical elements and three loops (D, anti-codon, and T loops). Further hydrogen bonds mediate the characteristic L-shaped molecular structure. tRNAs have two regions of fundamental functional importance: the anti-codon, which is responsible for specific mRNA codon recognition, and the 3' end, to which the tRNAs corresponding amino acid is attached (by aminoacyl-tRNA synthetases). tRNAs cope with the degeneracy of the genetic code in two manners: having more than one tRNA (with a specific anti-codon) for a particular amino acid; and 'wobble' base-pairing, i.e. permitting non-standard base-pairing at the 3rd anti-codon position. Lineage: Bacteria; Pseudomonadati; Myxococcota; Myxococcia. RNAcentral also lists the same sequence under 3 other names. The record is from RNAcentral.